AGAUAGCCGCCGCAAGUCCAGGCUGCGAGUGGAUGAGGCUGGGGAGGCGCGGUCGCCUCCAGGACCCAGGGCCUCCAUGGCUCCGACGAGGGCCGAGGCUGGCCUGGAAGAGCAGACGUGGUGCGAUGAGGACACCGAGGUUCUGAGGGAGAAAUGAUUUGCCCAGAGGCACACAGCUGGGCUCAGCUUAGAGGUCUCCCGACCUUUCGGGUUCCCAGCGGUUCCUGAGCUUCCCCCAUCACAGCAGUCAACCCUGCACUGAUUGGCGGCCGUGUACUAGUGAUUCAGUCUCCCCAUGUCCACCCCUGAGCUUCCUGAGGACAGGCCCUGCGCUUACCCAUCUCUGUACCGUCAGUGCCUGGCAGAGCAGUUUCUAUGACUUCAGAAAGACAAGAAGCCACCCUGAGGAGCAGCCCCUGGGAGGACUGUCACCUACUCUAGGGCUGUACCAGUGGCAUAGGAGCUAUGGCU
Long non-coding RNA from Phacochoerus africanus (Common warthog), 471 nucleotides. RefSeq lists it as uncharacterized. The transcript is spliced from 5 exons. The record is from RefSeq and is a predicted model, not a curated record. NCBI's taxonomy places the organism in Eukaryota, Metazoa, Chordata, Mammalia, Artiodactyla, Suidae.